AGCUGCGCUCGGAGAAGCCCUGAUGAAGCGUCGAAGGACCCGGGUUCGAUUCCCGGCACCUCCA
This 64-nucleotide transfer RNA is filed under the name Spirilliplanes yamanashiensis. RNAcentral's name for it is "tRNA-Phe". Lineage: Bacteria; Bacillati; Actinomycetota; Actinomycetes; Micromonosporales; Micromonosporaceae. The record is from RNAcentral.